Molecule: unclassified non-coding RNA, 339 nt
Filed under: soil metagenome
Description: partial contains 5.8S ribosomal RNA, internal transcribed spacer 2, and large subunit ribosomal RNA
Rfam family: 5.8S ribosomal RNA (bases 1-120)
Source: RNAcentral
GAUGAAGAACGCAGCGAAAUGCGAUACGUAGUGUGAAUUGCAGAAUUCAGUGAAUCAUCGAAUCUUUGAACGCACAUUGCACCGCUCGGUAAUCCGGGAGGUAUGCCUGUUCGAGCGUCAUUUGUACCCUCAAGCUCUGCUUGGUGUUGGGUGUUUGUUCCGCCUCUGUGUGUGAACUCGCCUCAAAACAAUUGGCAGCCGGCGUACUUGUUUCGGAGCGCAGCACAUUUUGCGAUCCAGAUCAACGUACAGCGGCAUCCAAGAAGCCUUAUUUAACGCUCUUGACCUCGGAUCAGGUAGGGAUACCCGCUGAACUUAAGCAUAUCAAUAAGCGGAGGA